AUGCGGGGUAGUGUCCUGCAGAUCUUAU
This 28-nucleotide transfer RNA is filed under the name Gadus morhua (Atlantic cod). RNAcentral's name for it is "partial tRNA-Ala". The record is from RNAcentral. Lineage: Eukaryota; Metazoa; Chordata; Actinopteri; Gadiformes; Gadidae.